GGGACACGUGGUAUCCUGUCUGAAUAUGGGGGGACCAUCCUCCAAGGCUAAAUACUCCUGACUGACCGAUAGUGAACCAGUACCGUGAGGGAAAGGCGAAAAGAACCCCGGCGAGGGGAGUGAAAAAGAACCUGAAACCGUGUACGUACAAGCAGUGGGAGCACCUUCGUGGUGUGACUGCGUACCUUUUGUAUAAUGGGUCAGCGACUUAUAUUCUGUAGCAAGGUUAACCGAAUAGGGGAGCCGAAGGGAAACCGAGUCUUAACUGGGCGUUAAGUUGCAGGGUAUAGACCCGAAACCCGGUGAUCUAGCCAUGGGCAGGUUGAAGGUUGGGUAACACUAACUGGAGGACCGAACCGACUAAUGUUGAAAAAUUAGCGGAUGACUUGUGGCUGGGGGUGAAAGGCCAAUCAAACCGGGAGAUAGCUGGUUCUCCCCGAAAGCUAUUUAGGUAGCGCCUCGUGAAUUCAUCUCCGGGGGUAGA
Molecule: ribosomal RNA, 484 nt
Filed under: Kluyvera intermedia
Lineage: Bacteria; Pseudomonadati; Pseudomonadota; Gammaproteobacteria; Enterobacterales; Enterobacteriaceae
Description: partial 23S ribosomal RNA
Rfam family: Bacterial large subunit ribosomal RNA
Source: RNAcentral